GCAAGUCGAGGGGCAGCAUAUCGCUUCGGUGAUGAUGGCGACCGGCGCACGGGUGAGUAUCGCGUUUGCAACCUACCCUUAACUGGGGGAUAGCCCGAAGAAAUUCGGAUUAAUACCCCAUAAUAUUUAAGAACGGCAUCGUUCUUUCAUUAAAGCUCCGGCGGUUAAGGAUGGGCAUGCGUGACAUUAGUUUGUUGGUGAGGUAACGGCUCACCAAGACUACGAUGUCUAGGGGGUCUGAGAGGAUGAUC
This 251-nucleotide ribosomal RNA is filed under the name uncultured bacterium. RNAcentral's name for it is "partial 16S ribosomal RNA". It matches the Rfam family "Bacterial small subunit ribosomal RNA", at positions 57 to 305 of the family's 1533-position model. The record is from RNAcentral.